UACAGAGACUGCAAGCGUUAUUCGGAAUUACUGGGCGUAAAGCGUGCGUAGACGGUAGCGUAAGUCAGAUGUGAAAGCCCCGGGCUCAACCUGGGAAUUGCAUUUGAGACUGCUCUGCUCGGGUGCGGAAGAGGGAAGCGGAAUUUCCGGUGUAGCGGUGAAAUGCGUAGAUAUCGGAAGGAACACCAGUGGCGAAAGCGGCUUCCUGGUCCGACACCGACGUUCAGGCACGAAAGCGUGGGGAGCAAACAGG
Molecule: ribosomal RNA, 253 nt
Filed under: uncultured bacterium
Lineage: Bacteria
Description: partial 16S ribosomal RNA
Rfam family: Bacterial small subunit ribosomal RNA
Source: RNAcentral